AACCCCUUGUUCAUCGUCUCCCUCAGAGACCAAACACCCCUCACCAAACCCUAGCCGCCAUGGCACCCCAUCGCCUGAAACCUGGCGGCAACGAUGUCGUUGGACACCAAAUUAACACCAUAGAUCCCCCUAAACACCCUAAAUCCAAAUAUGGCAUUAGUUUUCCUCGAAUCAAGCCCCAUCUCCUCGAAUCUUCAAUUGAAGAUUCCUGAAACCCGGCGGCAACGACGCCGUUGGACACCAAAUUAACACCAUAGAUCCCCCUUAGCACCCUGAAUCCAAAUAUGGCAUUAGUUUGCCUCGAAUCAAGCCCCUUCUCCUCGAAUAUUCAAUUGAAGAUUCGAGCCAAACUGAAAUGGAACCAAAACCAUCCCAAAAUCAUACCAGGCAACCCCCAGACCUCCCUCAUACCAUAAAUCACGAUGGUUCUGUACGACUCUGCUCAGAAACAUUCAAGACCCAAAUCUAAUGAAAGAAUCCUAGAAUAUCAAAGAAUGGUUUCUGUCAAAAAUUGAGGGGAAUUUGGGGUCCAAACCGACCUUAGUCAAGUGUUCUCAAUCGAGAACACCUGAUUAAAGUCCGUUUGACUUCAAAAGUUUGAGUCUUAGAUUGAUCAAGUCCGUCUGAUUUCUUUAAGGUAUUUUUCCUUUCUUUCGUCUGUUCUAUUUUGUUAUUUGUUAUUUGUUAUUUUUUUAGGUCAUCGUAUUAAUUUUUGUUCAUUUUUUGUUUGUUCAAUAAUUCUUCUACUCCAAUAGACCUUUUUAUUUGGUUCAGAAAAUUUUAAUCGUUGUAAUUAUAUGUUAUAUGACAAGAGGGGUUGCUCUUAUGGUAAGCAACCCCACUUUCAACCGAGAGGUUGUGAGUUCGAGUCUCCCUAAGAGCAAGGUGGGAAGGUGGGAAGUUCUAGGAGGGAAGGAUGCCGGGGGUCUAUUUGGAAACAACCUCUCUACCCAAGGGUAGGGGUAAGGUCUGCGUACUCACUACCCUCCCCAGACCCCACUAAGUGGGAUUAUACUGGAUUGUUGUUGUUGUUGUUGUAAUUAUAUGUUAUGAAUUAGGUAAUCAUUUGUUUGAACAUUUUCGUCAAUCAGUUAAGUUGUAUUAUAACUCCCCGCUUCUGGUAAAUGCCACUCGAAUCACCUGUGGUCUGUUCUGAUUGCUUGUUGUUAAUAGUUGUAUAUUAUGGCUUGCGUAAUCGAUUAUUUAAGUGUUAUCAAUUAGUUUUUUAGGUUUGAAUGGUUCAAGCCCCGACAGCAGUAAUAGAACUUGUGUGAAUUGUGUAUUUGCAGUAUGAUUUGUUCAAAUUUAGAUUUAAUUUAGAAAUGUUUCAG
RNAcentral lists this long non-coding RNA (1331 nucleotides) under Nicotiana benthamiana. RNAcentral describes it as "long non-coding RNA (NBEN_LNC036568)". The record is from RNAcentral. Lineage: Eukaryota; Viridiplantae; Streptophyta; Magnoliopsida; Solanales; Solanaceae.